This 500-nucleotide ribosomal RNA is filed under the name uncultured Alphaproteobacteria bacterium. Its description in RNAcentral is "bacterial SSU rRNA". It matches the Rfam family "Bacterial small subunit ribosomal RNA", at positions 110 to 646 of the family's 1533-position model. Lineage: Bacteria; Pseudomonadati; Pseudomonadota; Alphaproteobacteria. The record is from RNAcentral.
GUAACACGUGGGGAUCUACCCAAUGGUACGGAAUAACCCAGGAAAACUUGGAUUAAUACCGUAUGUGCCCUUCGGGGGAAAGAUUAUCGCCAUUGGAUGAACCCGCGUCGGAUUAGCUAAUUGGUGAGGUAAAGGCUCACCAAGGCGACGAUCCGUAGCUGGUCUGAGAGGAUGAUCAGCCACACUGGGACUGAGACACGGCCCAGACUCCUACGGGAGGCAACAGUGGGGAAUAUUGGACAAUGGGCGCAAGCCUGAUCCAGCCAUGCCGCGUGUGUGAUGAAGGCCUUAGGGUUGUAAAGCACUUUCGCCGGUGAAGAUAAUGACGGUAACCGGAGAAGAAGCCCCGGCUAACUUCGUGCCAGCAGCCGCGGUAAUACGAAGGGGGCUAGCGUUGCUCGGAAUCACUGGGCGUAAAGCGCACGUAGGCGGAUCGUUAAGUCAGGAGUGAAAUCCUGGAGCUCAACUCCAGAACUGCCCUUGAUACUGGCGAUCUCGAG